Molecule: small RNA, 78 nt
Filed under: Xanthomonas hortorum
Lineage: Bacteria; Pseudomonadati; Pseudomonadota; Gammaproteobacteria; Lysobacterales; Lysobacteraceae
Also listed under: 3 other names
Description: sX9 sRNA
Rfam family: Xanthomonas sRNA sX9
Source: RNAcentral
AUGUACCAUUCGUACACUGCGGUUCUGAGCGCGCCGUCCGCGCCCACCUGACGACCCGCUCGCUACGUCUUGGUAGCC